Molecule: ribosomal RNA, 1475 nt
Filed under: Lactiplantibacillus plantarum
Lineage: Bacteria; Bacillati; Bacillota; Bacilli; Lactobacillales; Lactobacillaceae
Description: bacterial SSU rRNA
Rfam family: Bacterial small subunit ribosomal RNA
Source: RNAcentral
UGGCGGCGUGCCUAAUACAUGCAAGUCGAACGAACUCUGGUAUUGAUUGGUGCUUGCAUCAUGAUUUACAUUUGAGUGAGUGGCGAACUGGUGAGUAACACGUGGGAAACCUGCCCAGAAGCGGGGGAUAACACCUGGAAACAGAUGCUAAUACCGCAUAACAACUUGGACCGCAUGGUCCGAGUUUGAAAGAUGGCUUCGGCUAUCACUUUUGGAUGGUCCCGCGGCGUAUUAGCUAGAUGGUGGGGUAACGGCUCACCAUGGCAAUGAUACGUAGCCGACCUGAGAGGGUAAUCGGCCACAUUGGGACUGAGACACGGCCCAAACUCCUACGGGAGGCAGCAGUAGGGAAUCUUCCACAAUGGACGAAAGUCUGAUGGAGCAACGCCGCGUGAGUGAAGAAGGGUUUCGGCUCGUAAAACUCUGUUGUUAAAGAAGAACAUAUCUGAGAGUAACUGUUCAGGUAUUGACGGUAUUUAACCAGAAAGCCACGGCUAACUACGUGCCAGCAGCCGCGGUAAUACGUAGGUGGCAAGCGUUGUCCGGAUUUAUUGGGCGUAAAGCGAGCGCAGGCGGUUUUUUAAGUCUGAUGUGAAAGCCUUCGGCUCAACCGAAGAAGUGCAUCGGAAACUGGGAAACUUGAGUGCAGAAGAGGACAGUGGAACUCCAUGUGUAGCGGUGAAAUGCGUAGAUAUAUGGAAGAACACCAGUGGCGAAGGCGGCUGUCUGGUCUGUAACUGACGCUGAGGCUCGAAAGUAUGGGUAGCAAACAGGAUUAGAUACCCUGGUAGUCCAUACCGUAAACGAUGAAUGCUAAGUGUUGGAGGGUUUCCGCCCUUCAGUGCUGCAGCUAACGCAUUAAGCAUUCCGCCUGGGGAGUACGGCCGCAAGGCUGAAACUCAAAGGAAUUGACGGGGGCCCGCACAAGCGGUGGAGCAUGUGGUUUAAUUCGAAGCUACGCGAAGAACCUUACCAGGUCUUGACAUACUAUGCAAAUCUAAGAGAUUAGACGUUCCCUUCGGGGACAUGGAUACAGGUGGUGCAUGGUUGUCGUCAGCUCGUGUCGUGAGAUGUUGGGUUAAGUCCCGCAACGAGCGCAACCCUUAUUAUCAGUUGCCAGCAUUAAGUUGGGCACUCUGGUGAGACUGCCGGUGACAAACCGGAGGAAGGUGGGGAUGACGUCAAAUCAUCAUGCCCCUUAUGACCUGGGCUACACACGUGCUACAAUGGAUGGUACAACGAGUUGCGAACUCGCGAGAGUAAGCUAAUCUCUUAAAGCCAUUCUCAGUUCGGAUUGUAGGCUGCAACUCGCCUACAUGAAGUCGGAAUCGCUAGUAAUCGCGGAUCAGCAUGCCGCGGUGAAUACGUUCCCGGGCCUUGUACACACCGCCCGUCACACCAUGAGAGUUUGUAACACCCAAAGUCGGUGGGGUAACCUUUUAGGAACCAGCCGCCUAAGGUGGGACAGAUGAUUA